This 1045-nucleotide long non-coding RNA is filed under the name Mytilus galloprovincialis (Mediterranean mussel). The record is from RNAcentral. Lineage: Eukaryota; Metazoa; Mollusca; Bivalvia; Mytilida; Mytilidae.
CGAAUAUUUGCGUGAAACAUUUUUGUAUGAUUUUUAUUUCUGGAAAUCAAUCUGAAAUCUACAACAGUCCUUUUCCGAAAGUCGGGCUGGACCUUUACUUUUAUGUGCAUUCGGGAUUUACACAAAUUGUAACCCGAAUAAUUCAGUCGUAUUAUUCAGCUGAUGUACGAAUGCUACAUUUCUCGUGUGGGAGAAAAUCGGACACGGAAAGGGCUUGAAUUAUUCGAGUUACUCAAAUUGAAACUCGGGAAUAUAUUUCUAACUGUUCGGAAUUCGCGGAAACAAAUGAUUGUUUUUUCGCAUUACGGUAUUGAAUCAAUAUGAGUCAGAGAUACCAAUUAUUUCUUUUAACAAAUUCGAAUACCAGUCAGUUUAUAGGACCUCAGUUUGAAAUAGGGGCGGCAAUCCAUUCAUUUUAUCCAAUCAAUUGGAGGGGGGGUCAACAUUGAUAGUUCAAAAAGGCCUUGAAAUAUUCGAUAAAAACGUUGAAUGUAAAUUAUAUGAACUCCAAAGUCUCAUAUUAUAAGACUAGUAAACCACAGUCUUCUCAAUUCUUGUAUGAUCAUGAACUAGGUGAAAACCUAGAGCUAACCGAGUGCGAGAUCCUCAUGGAUAAUCAUCGAGGUCGUUAAACACCCCUUGCAGUAAACUUGGGUUAAAUUUUAAAAAAAAAUCUAAAUGUAAUAGUCGGAACACAUUUCACCUCUCAUUUCACUAAAUAUUAAAUUGCAGUUACAAGUAUCACAAAACUUCCCUGACCUCUUUUCUUUAACCAUAAUAGAGGGAGGAGGGAAGGAGGGAUCCAGAUCCCGAAAUCCCGGGCUUAAAAACACGAAAUACCGAGGUCCCGAAUUUGAAAAAAAAUUAAAUCCCGAAAAGGUCAAUUCCGAAAUCCCGAGCUUAAAAACACUCGAUCCCGGAGUUCCGAUAAAGGUCCUACUCUCCCCCUCCCCCGUAAUUCUAUAUUCUAUUCAUUCAUUAUCUUGAAUUGAGACUUGAUACUUCAAAAUUACAUUCUCUAAUUUUGUAUGCUGCACACAGGCAC